UACGAAGGGGGCUAGCGUUGUUCGGAUUUACUAGGCGUAAAGCGCACGUAGGCGGAUCGUUAAGUCGGGGGUGAAAUCCUGGAGCUCAACUCCAGAACUGCCUUUGAUACUGAAGAUCUUGAGUUCGGGAGAGGUGAGUGGAACUGCGAGUGUAGAGGUGAAAUUCGUAGAUAUUCGCAAGAACACCAGUGGCGAAGGCGGCUCACUGGCCCGAUACUGACGCUGAGGCACGAAAGCGUGGGGAGCAAACAGG
RNAcentral lists this ribosomal RNA (253 nucleotides) under uncultured bacterium. Its description in RNAcentral is "partial 16S ribosomal RNA". It matches the Rfam family "Bacterial small subunit ribosomal RNA", at positions 524 to 776 of the family's 1533-position model. The record is from RNAcentral.